Molecule: ribosomal RNA, 1025 nt
Filed under: Vibrio alginolyticus
Lineage: Bacteria; Pseudomonadati; Pseudomonadota; Gammaproteobacteria; Vibrionales; Vibrionaceae
Also listed under: 2 other names
Description: bacterial SSU rRNA
Rfam family: Bacterial small subunit ribosomal RNA
Source: RNAcentral
AAGCACCGGCUAACUCCGUGCCAGCAGCCGCGGUAAUACGGAGGGUGCGAGCGUUAAUCGGAAUUACUGGGCGUAAAGCGCAUGCAGGUGGUUUGUUAAGUCAGAUGUGAAAGCCCGGGGCUCAACCUCGGAAUAGCAUUUGAAACUGGCAGACUAGAGUACUGUAGAGGGGGGUAGAAUUUCAGGUGUAGCGGUGAAAUGCGUAGAGAUCUGAAGGAAUACCGGUGGCGAAGGCGGCCCCCUGGACAGAUACUGACACUCAGAUGCGAAAGCGUGGGGAGCAAACAGGAUUAGAUACCCUGGUAGUCCACGCCGUAAACGAUGUCUACUUGGAGGUUGUGGCCUUGAGCCGUGGCUUUCGGAGCUAACGCGUUAAGUAGACCGCCUGGGGAGUACGGUCGCAAGAUUAAAACUCAAAUGAAUUGACGGGGGCCCGCACAAGCGGUGGAGCAUGUGGUUUAAUUCGAUGCAACGCGAAGAACCUUACCUACUCUUGACAUCCAGAGAACUUUCCAGAGAUGGAUUGGUGCCUUCGGGAACUCUGAGACAGGUGCUGCAUGGCUGUCGUCAGCUCGUGUUGUGAAAUGUUGGGUUAAGUCCCGCAACGAGCGCAACCCUUAUCCUUGUUUGCCAGCGAGUAAUGUCGGGAACUCCAGGGAGACUGCCGGUGAUAAACCGGAGGAAGGUGGGGACGACGUCAAGUCAUCAUGGCCCUUACGAGUAGGGCUACACACGUGCUACAAUGGCGCAUACAGAGGGCGGCCAACUUGCGAAAGUGAGCGAAUCCCAAAAAGUGCGUCGUAGUCCGGAUUGGAGUCUGCAACUCGACUCCAUGAAGUCGGAAUCGCUAGUAAUCGUGGAUCAGAAUGCCACGGUGAAUACGUUCCCGGGCCUUGUACACACCGCCCGUCACACCAUGGGAGUGGGCUGCAAAAGAAGUAGGUAGUUUAACCUUCGGGGGGACGCUUACCACUUUGUGGUUCAUGACUGGGGUGAAGUCGUAACAAGGUAGCGCUAGGGGAACC